UUAAGCGACUAAGCGUACACGGUGGAUGCCCUGGCAGUCAGAGGCGAUGAAGGGCGUGCUAAUCUGCGAUAAGCGCCGGUAAGGUGAUAUGAACCGUUAUAACCGGCGAUACCCGAAUGGGGAAACCCAGUGUGAUUCGUCACACUAUCAUUAACUGAAUCCAUAGGUUAAUGAGGCGAACCGGGGGAACUGAAACAUCUAAGUACCCCGAGGAAAAGAAAUCAACCGAGAUUCCCCCAGUAGCGGCGAGCGAACGGGGAGGAGCCCAGAGCCUGAAUCAGCAUGUGUGUUAGUGGAAGCGUCUGGAAAGGCGCGCGAUACAGGGUGACAGCCCCGUACACAAAAGCGCAUGUGCUGUGAGCUCGAUGAGUAGGGCGGGACACGUGGUAUCCUGUCUGAAUAUGGGGGGACCAUCCUCCAAGGCUAAAUACUCCUGACUGACCGAUAGUGAACCAGUACCGUGAGGGAAAGGCGAAAAGAACCCCGGCGAGGGGAGUGAAAAAGAACCUGAAACCGUGUACGUACAAGCAGUGGGAGCACAGGUUUACCUGUGUGACUGCGUACCUUUUGUAUAAUGGGUCAGCGACUUAUAUUCUGUAGCAAGGUUAACCGUAUAGGGGAGCCGGAGGGAAACCGAGUCUUAACCGGGCGUUAAGUUGCAGGGUAUAGACCCGAAACCCGGUGAUCUAGCCAUGGGCAGGUUGAAGGUUGGGUAACACUAACUGGAGGACCGAACCGACUAAUGUUGAAAAAUUAGCGGAUGACCUGUGGCUGGGGGUGAAAGGCCAAUCAAACCGGGAGAUAGCUGGUUCUCCCCGAAAGCUAUUUAGGUAGCGCCUCGUGAAUUCAUCUCCGGGGGUAGAGCACUGUUUCGGCUAGGGGGCCAUCCCGGCUUACCAACCCGAUGCAAACUGCGAAUACCGGAGAAUGUUAUCACGGGAGACACACGGCGGGUGCUAACGUCCGUCGUGAAGAGGGAAACAACCCAGACCGCCAGCUAAGGUCCCAAAGUCAUGGUUAAGUGGGAAACGAUGUGGGAAGGCCCAGACAGCCAGGAUGUUGGCUUAGAAGCAGCCAUCAUUUAAAGAAAGCGUAAUAGCUCACUGGUCGAGUCGGCCUGCGCGGAAGAUGUAACGGGGCUAAACCAUGCACCGAAGCUGCGGCAGCGAACGUAUCACCCAAGACAACUUUACGGAGUUGACGAUUGACGGAGCGAAGCGACGUCAAAGCGUUCAUUAAAGUCGAGUUGGCUUAGGGAUACGUUCGUUGGGUAGGGGAGCGUUCUGUAAGCCUGUGAAGGUGUGUCGUGAGGCAUGCUGGAGGUAUCAGAAGUGCGAAUGCUGACAUAAGUAACGAUAAAGCGGGUGAAAAGCCCGCUCGCCGGAAGACCAAGGGUUCCUGUCCAACGUUAAUCGGGGCAGGGUGAGUCGACCCCUAAGGCGAGGCCGAAAGGCGUAGUCGAUGGGAAACGGGUUAAUAUUCCCGUACUUGGUGUUACUGCGAAGGGGGGACGGAGAAGGCUAUGUUGGCCGGGCGACGGUUGUCCCGGUUUAAGCGUGUAGGUGUGUGUUCCAGGUAAAUCCGGUUCACUUUAACACUGAGGCGUGACGACGAGGCACUACGGUGCUGAAGCAACAAAUGCCCUGCUUCCAGGAAAAGCCUCUAAGCAUCAGGUAACACGAAAUCGUACCCCAAACCGACACAGGUGGUCAGGUAGAGAAUACCAAGGCGCUUGAGAGAACUCGGGUGAAGGAACUAGGCAAAAUGGUGCCGUAACUUCGGGAGAAGGCACGCUGACACGUAGGUGAAGUGAUUUACUCAUGGAGCUGAAGUCAGUCGAAGAUACCAGCUGGCUGCAACUGUUUAUUAAAAACACAGCACUGUGCAAACACGAAAGUGGACGUAUACGGUGUGACGCCUGCCCGGUGCCGGAAGGUUAAUUGAUGGGGUCAGCGUAAGCGAAGCUCCUGAUCGAAGCCCCGGUAAACGGCGGCCGUAACUAUAACGGUCCUAAGGUAGCGAAAUUCCUUGUCGGGUAAGUUCCGACCUGCACGAAUGGCGUAAUGAUGGCCAGGCUGUCUCCACCCGAGACUCAGUGAAAUUGAACUCGCUGUGAAGAUGCAGUGUACCCGCGGCAAGACGGAAAGACCCCGUGAACCUUUACUAUAGCUUGACACUGAACAUUGAGCCUUGAUGUGUAGGAUAGGUGGGAGGCUUUGAAGUGUGGACGCCAGUCUGCAUGGAGCCGACCUUGAAAUACCACCCUUUAAUGUUUGAUGUUCUAACGUGGACCCGUAAUCCGGGUUGCGGACAGUGUCUGGUGGGUAGUUUGACUGGGGCGGUCUCCUCCUAAAGAGUAACGGAGGAGCACGAAGGUUGGCUAAUCCUGGUCGGACAUCAGGAGGUUAGUGCAAUGGCAUAAGCCAGCUUGACUGCGAGCGUGACGGCGCGAGCAGGUGCGAAAGCAGGUCAUAGUGAUCCGGUGGUUCUGAAUGGAAGGGCCAUCGCUCAACGGAUAAAAGGUACUCCGGGGAUAACAGGCUGAUACCGCCCAAGAGUUCAUAUCGACGGCGGUGUUUGGCACCUCGAUGUCGGCUCAUCACAUCCUGGGGCUGAAGUAGGUCCCAAGGGUAUGGCUGUUCGCCAUUUAAAGUGGUACGCGAGCUGGGUUUAGAACGUCGUGAGACAGUUCGGUCCCUAUCUGCCGUGGGCGCUGGAGAACUGAGGGGGGCUGCUCCUAGUACGAGAGGACCGGAGUGGACGCAUCACUGGUGUUCGGGUUGUCAUGCCAAUGGCACUGCCCGGUAGCUAAAUGCGGAAGAGAUAAGUGCUGAAAGCAUCUAAGCACGAAACUUGCCCCGAGAUGAGUUCUCCCUGAGACUUAGAGUCUCCUGAAGGAACGUUGAAGACGACGACGUUGAUAGGCCGGGUGUGUAAGCGCAGCGAUGCGUUGAGCUAACCGGUACUAAUGAACCGUGAGGCUUAACCUU
RNAcentral lists this ribosomal RNA (2990 nucleotides) under Salmonella enterica subsp. enterica serovar Typhimurium str. DT104. RNAcentral's name for it is "bacterial LSU rRNA". It matches the Rfam family "Bacterial large subunit ribosomal RNA". The record is from RNAcentral. Lineage: Bacteria; Pseudomonadati; Pseudomonadota; Gammaproteobacteria; Enterobacterales; Enterobacteriaceae.